RNAcentral lists this RNase P RNA (398 nucleotides) under Mycobacterium sp. Root135. Its description in RNAcentral is "Bacterial RNase P class A". It matches the Rfam family "Bacterial RNase P class A". Rfam says of the family: Ribonuclease P (RNase P) is a ubiquitous endoribonuclease, found in archaea, bacteria and eukarya as well as chloroplasts and mitochondria. Its best characterised activity is the generation of mature 5'-ends of tRNAs by cleaving the 5'-leader elements of precursor-tRNAs. Cellular RNase Ps are ribonucleoproteins. Lineage: Bacteria; Bacillati; Actinomycetota; Actinomycetes; Mycobacteriales; Mycobacteriaceae. The record is from Rfam by way of RNAcentral.
CGAGUUGGCCGGGCGGCCGCGGCAUCCAGGUUCGCCUGGACGUCGAGGAAAGUCCGGACUUCACAGAGCAGGGUGAUUGCCAACGGCAAUCCGAGGUGACUCGCGGGAAAGUGCCACAGAAAACAGACCGCCACCCCCGGGUGGUAAGGGUGAAACGGUGCGGUAAGAGCGCACCAGCAUUCCGGGUGACCGGAGUGGCUAGGCAAACCCCACCCGAAGCAAGGCCAAGAAGGCCGCAACCUCGUUGUGGCUGCGCAGACGUUCGAGGGCUGCUCGCCCGAGCCUGCGGGUAGGCCGCUCGAGGCACCCGGUGACGGUGUGUCCAGAUGGAUGGUCGCCGCCGUGCCGUCAGUCAUGACGGCACGGAACAGAAUCCGGCUUACAGGCCAACUCGUCCG